Molecule: long non-coding RNA, 2623 nt
Filed under: Macaca fascicularis (crab-eating macaque)
Lineage: Eukaryota; Metazoa; Chordata; Mammalia; Primates; Cercopithecidae
Description: lncRNA (ENSMFAG00000060186.1)
Source: RNAcentral
UGGGCUGGCCCAAUUUUACCCUUUUCUCCUUUUACAGCUCCCAUCACCAGCUUUUCCUCCUCAAGCCUGCACUGCACACCAACUGGGAUGGAGGGUACAGAUGAAUAAAGGCAAAUCCAUCGCCAUAAGUAAGAAAACCCUUCCACACUUCCUCCCUCAUAAUUUGUUGUAGAUUUGUUGCCAUCUGCAAAGCCAGAAAGACAACUCCAGCACUUCCUGACCAUCUUGAGACCCACUUAAACUUCCUGAGACUGUGAAAAUCUCUCCUAUUUAUUCAUUUACUAGAAGUCCCCUGGUCCCCCAGCAAAUACACAUGCCUUGCAGAACCUAGAAGAGUAAUCGGAAACUCUCCAGCAGUUAUGAGCCAUAGUUUAAAAACCUCUGAACUCACAAAAUUAUCAUUCUGUCCCAGAUUUACCGAAUUGUGGUGAUUAUAGCGUAGACUCUGCAGUUCUGGUUGAGAGGUCAAUUUAAUUAGAAGCCUCUAUCUUCAGGCUCUUAUAACUCCACCCCAUACCCCUUUCCCAAAAAUAAUUCUUUAGGAUGAAAUUUCUAAUACUGUCUCUCAGCCUAAAGGUAUAUUUUCUCGUAGAAGGUUGAGUAAGGUUUCAUUUAGGCUAUUUUUAAAACAUAAGAAAAAGGGCAAAAAAGGGGGAUUUCACCACUUAAGAAAUCACUCAGACACUUUUUUUUACUGUUUUUUUUUUCCUAAAUGCAAACGGCUUCCUUUAGAACUUUCAAGUUGUCCUUCUUAGUGCCUUUGGCAUGUUUGAAGAAAUUUGGUUAAGCUGUGAUGAAGUUGUUCACAAAAUGUGAAUUGCCCAUAAGUAGAUUUAUUUCCACUCUUUAAAAGAAACUUGCAUGGAAAUGUUACAUGGAAAUUAUGAUAAAAAUCAGUUCUAUGAAAAAAGGUCUCUCUCUCUCUCUCUCUCUCUGUGUGUGUGUGUGUGUGUGUGUGUGUGUGUGUGUGUGUUAUAGAUGCAUUAAUAUCUUACCAAUGAAAAUGUCAUUGGUCAACCACAUGGCCUGUUACCAAAAAUGACCUUAGAAGUAUUUAGUCCAGGUCCUGUUUACAGUGAGAAGACUGAGGUCCAAAGGCUUAUAUAAAUGUUUUAGUCUGGAUGAAAAAUAAAUGAUUGACUCUGAAACAUGUAUCUUACAUAGAGAACACAGACUCAUAAAACAAAUGUAAAUUAUAUGACCACGUUACCAUUUUGGAGGGAAAGGAGGGCCUCUAGCCCAGGGAAGGUUAUAAUUUUCACCACUCCUGGCACAUCACGUGGUGGGAAGUGGGGUGGAGGCCAAGGCAACCUCGCGGCAGCCUGCAGAUCCCUGGGGGCACUGGCUUGUCUUCUUCCAGUCAGGCAUGGAAAAGCAAUUCCAAUACCAAGUUCCUACAGCAAGAACCAGGUGGAUUCUUCCUUUAUGGAUAACCAGGUACAGUCAUGGCUUCUAUUAAGAGUGGCCAGGAAUUUCUUGACUGAGGUCACACAUGUAGUAACAUCUCAUUGCUUUCCUCAAAUUAUAUCGCUAAAAACUAAUCACAUCAUAAAAUUCAAAUGCAGCAUCUAAGCCUAAAUGAAAACAAAUGCUAAAUUGCAUAGUCUUGUUUAUUCUUGCUGUUUUGAUUAUUUGCUGCCCACAACUAAUUUAAGGGACAGUCUGGUGGCCAAAGAUACAUAGCUUCAUUACAACCGAGCAUUUCCUUAGAGGACCCAGGUUCCAAAAAGAGAAUUUUUCUGGAACCAUGACCAAUGCAUUGGGACAAUUAGCUGCACAGUUGAACUAUAGUGUCAUAUAAAAUGAUGUUUUAGUGUGUGUUGAGCCAUAUGACAAUGCUGAUGUUUGAUAUUUUUGACCCCACAAUGCAUGACAAUAUUCAAAUGCACCCUGGUAGUGAGACAGUAAAUCGAGAAGCUUGGUGUAUUUUCACAACAUUUAGGCUUACUGGCAUUAAGCUUUUGUGAUAGGCGCACCAAAAACAAAACAAAACAAAAAAAAACCCAGAAAAUUGUCUCAAAGACUAGAAUCAAAUUGAGGAGAGUCAAUAAAAUCAUAAGAAAAAUAUCAAAAGCCGUAGAAGACAGUACAUGGGAGCUACUUUCCAAUUUCCAGUUUCCAGGUGCUAAGUACGGGAGAGCCCAGGAACUCUUUAGCACAAAAGAGAAGUGAUCCUUAGCUCAGUCAGGGAGAGUUCAAGAAGGAGCUGGGGCGUAAGUUAGGCCUUGAAGUCCUCAAAAGAUGUUUAGAAAGAGGGGAAUGUAAUUAAGAAAGAGGAAUAAGCAUCAUUAUUCCAUACCUUUUAUUUCAUACCAUUAUUUGCUAUUUCAUACCCUUUGUUCAGCCGUAGUGGCUCCUUUCUGUUCUUGUAAUCCACCAGGCAAUUUCCCACUGCAUGGCCUUUGCACUGGCUGUUCCCUUUGCCUAAAAUCUUCUUCCCCCUCAUCUGCCCAUGGAUAGGUCUUGUUUCUUAUUAAAUAUUACUUCCUGCUAGGCACAGUGGCUCAUGUCUAUAUUCCCAGCACUUUGGAAGGCCAAAGAGGGAGGAUCAUUUGAGGCCAAGAAUUCAAAACCAGCCUAGGCAACAUACAGAAUCCCUAUCUAAAAAAAAAAAAAAAAAAAA